AACAAAACCAGCAGAAAAGUUUGCCCCAAGGACACUGGCUACCGUGGCUUCAUCAGCCACAAGAUCAUGAAUUCCUUUCCUGAUCUGAAGAGAAUGUACAAAAGAAAGCAUCACUAAGUUCAAUGUUUGUGUUGAUCCAAAAACCAUUGAAAAUCAAGGUCUAUUUUUUGAGACAAAUAAUGCAAACUCACAGGCUCAAGGGUUGACCAGCAUAUUGCAGAGAAGGGAACAUCACGAGAAAGUUGUGCUCCAAGGCCAGUCCACAAUAUGCGAUAACUUUGCCUUUUUUGAAGGUUGUUUGAGCUCGAAACUGGGUUGAUCACCUCAAUUAGUGUCUUCCACACUCCCGGAGGCUUUGCACCAUUUUGGGCUUCUUUAAAUGCCUGCAUACGAGUCCUUGCCAACUCCACAGGGUAACAAGUAACGCAAGCUAAUGAGCGGGCUACCGACCCUGCAACUAAUGGUACAUAUGGUGUCAAGUCUGGAGCAUUCUGAUUUGUAAAAUCUUCCAUUAAAUUCCGGAAAAUGUCAUAACAAGGCAAGUAGAUUCCCACAGUUGGCACAGCCAAAGCUAAGCUUGCAUUUGUGCCUCUCCACAGUCUUCCAAAUCCUUCCUGGCGAAUGACUUUACUGAAGACAUCCAGCGUUCCCUUAUACCUGUUACAUUCUGAAGUGCACAUUGUUUCAGAACCAGGUAGUGCAUGUUUUAGACCCGGAAGCUCCGCAUUUGCGUCCAAACAUUCAGUUCCACAUAAUCCCUGAUUAGGAACCCCAGCAGCCUGUGCUUGCAGCCUUGUCUUGGCGACAUCAAGAGGGUUAACGAUGAUGGCGGAGACAACGGCGGCACCAGCUGCAGAGAUGGCCCUCUCCAUAAAACCUAAAUUGGCAUCUAACGACACCGCUUUGGAAUCAUCCUUUUUAACAGCUUUAGAAGAAAACAUUGUCUCUGAAACAGAGGAAACAUUCCCAUUAAUAUCGACUCUGGACGCCUCUGCUGCGCUAAUCCACUAAGGUAGACUCUGCGUCGACCCUCCCACCAUUUAGGAUUUUCCUUAUUUAGAAUUGUCUUAUUUUAUUUAAAAACCCUCCGAUCAAUCAUAAGGGACUUUGGGUUCACAAAAUCAUCCCAUAUUUGAAUUUUGCGAUGGAGGAGGCCAAGUUUGACACUGCUAUUUACCCUUUUUUCGCCUCAAUUAUGGAAAUUGAGUUUGGGUGAAGGGGUUGCGAUCGGUUUGAAUUGAAUGAAAAUGGAGAAUAUCAAAAUAGGUGUUGGGGUGGUUUAGGUUUAGUUGAUAUCUAGAGUUUUCUCAAUAUGCAUGGGAAAAAGGAGAAUAACAUACAGGCAGAGAAACAUAUGAUUCGAGGCGUGGAAAUAAGGGCGCCAAACAAUUGGAACUGCUCCGCCAUUCAGCCUGAAGUGUACGCCUCUCCUAUACCCUCACGUGAUAGUGACACAGACAAAGAGGGCCACAAUGUUGGACUGCGGAGUCUGGAGCAAAAACUCUCAUUCUUACGGUUCAUAUCUAGAUUGGGCCUCUCAGCGCGGUAAUUCCCUAGCCCAACAUGUGGGUUGCCAGCAAACUUUUGCUGGUUUAGAACUGCUAAAAAGAUGUCUGUUUUGGAUACUUCACUGCAAUAGUAUCAUUUGAAUCGCUGAUUAAUGUAGAUUUCUUUACAUAAAGUACGUAAAACUCAUAUCAAUUAACCAACGGUAUAGAUUAAACAGUCUGGUUUUGCUAAAAAAUUCGAGUCGGGAGUGGAACACGGGAUGGAGAAUAAAGUGCCAAAGAGCUAUCUUGGAGUAGGAGUAAAGUGACAUGGAAAAAUCAUCCCAACCCUCGUUCUUUCUAUACAAUUAGAAAAACAAUAAUCAACCCACGAGAAUUAAAACUGUGUACAACAAUAAAACGAUGAGAAUUGAUGGAGUUGGAGUAAGAAUUCAUCAUUCAUCUUCAUCCCCUUCCAUAGAAAACAUCCAGAUGUCUAUCCGUGAGGGAAGGUACGGUUUGUUUAAUUGGUGCGGCAGCUGAUUCCACAAAUGAACUGCAAUACUGUUGUUUUCUCGCAUGACAAAGCCUCACUGUCGAUGAAAUGCUUGCUGAAACCACAACCAAUUUCGCUGCCACCCCAAUUGCCUUCUGCCAGUUACAGGGACCAAAUAGAAUUCCGAUGCAAAAACUGACGAACCUACUUCUUGUCCCCUUUUCCUUGUUAUUGUGGAUAUUAGAAUCCGCUUUGUUCUUGAUUUCCCCAUUCCAGUUCAAAUCAAAAUCAGUGAUCUUUCCAUUGUUAAACCAAGCAUUCAGCUCUUUCACUACAUCAAGAGAUCUUCCUGGAAAUUGUUUCACUUUUUCGAUUAGGAUUAUUCUGCUCUCUUCUAAGCGAUUAAGGGCUGCUUGCGUAUCUAUUAUCUGCCAAGAUCUUAAUCUCUGUAAAAGCAUAAGCACGUCCCCAACUUCCCUUAAUGAAUCUCUAAUGGCAAUCAAUCUCUCCCUCUCCUGAACUGAUGUCUCUGCAAUGUGACAGAGACGACCAUUCUCUGAACACAGCCUGCAGAAGCUGUAACAGUCUCUGAUUUCAUCAGACAGGCCAUCUUGCAGAGCCCCUGCUCUCUCUAUGAGAGCCUGAAGGCUCCCCUUCAACUCCAUCAAAAAUUAUAAGCACCCCACCAAUCGAAACUUUAUCUCUAUGAUCUUUUCAGGCUUUGUCAGGUCUUCCCAUUUGUUGCUGAGACCAUUUGUAGGCCUUUUCUUAUUUUAUGGUUUGCAUUUGGUAGUUCAUCAGAACAAAUCAUUUUGUCUUUCCUUA
This 2808-nucleotide unclassified non-coding RNA is filed under the name Hevea brasiliensis (rubber tree). Lineage: Eukaryota; Viridiplantae; Streptophyta; Magnoliopsida; Malpighiales; Euphorbiaceae. The record is from RNAcentral.